UGUGCCAGCAGCCGCGGUAAUACGGGGGGGGCAAGCGUUGUUCGGAAUUACUGGGCGUAAAGGGCUCGUAGGCGGCCAACUAAGUCAGACGUGAAAUCCCCAGGCUCAACCUGGGAACUGCGUCUGAUACUGGUUGGCUUGAGUCCGGGAGAGGGAUGCAGAAUUCCAGGUGUAGCGGUGAAAUGCGUAGAUAUCUGGAGGAAUACCGGUGGCGAAGGC
This 219-nucleotide ribosomal RNA is filed under the name uncultured bacterium. RNAcentral's name for it is "partial 16S ribosomal RNA". It matches the Rfam family "Bacterial small subunit ribosomal RNA", at positions 504 to 722 of the family's 1533-position model. The record is from RNAcentral.